RNAcentral lists this ribosomal RNA (505 nucleotides) under uncultured bacterium. Its description in RNAcentral is "partial 16S ribosomal RNA". It matches the Rfam family "Bacterial small subunit ribosomal RNA", at positions 28 to 507 of the family's 1533-position model. The record is from RNAcentral.
GACGAACGCUGGCGGCGUGCCUAAUACAUGCAAGUAGAACGCACAGUUUAUACCGUAGCUUGCUACACCAUAGACUGUGAGUUGCGAACGGGUGAGUAACGCGUAGGUAACCUGCCUGGUAGCGGGGGAUAACUAUUGGAAACGAUAGCUAAUACCGCAUAAUAUUAAUUAUUGCAUGAUAAUUAAUUGAAAGGUGCAAUUGCACCACUACCAGAUGGACCUGCGUUGUAUUAGCUAGUAGGUGAGGUAACGGCUCACCUAGGCGACGAUACAUAGCCGACCGGAUAGGGUGAGUGGCCACACUGGGACGGAGACACGGCCCAGACUGCUACGGGAGGCAGCAGUAGGGCAUCUUCAGCAAGGGACGAAAGUCUGAGCGAGCAACGCCGCGGGAGGGAAGAAGGUUGUCGGAUCGUAAAGGUCUGUUGUAAGAGAAGAACGGGUGUGAGAGUGGAAAGUUCACACUGUGACGGUAACUUACCAGAAAGCGACGGCUAACUACGUG